CCGACGGGUGAGUAACACGUAUGCAAUCCACCCUGUAACAGGGGGAGUAACCCGGAGAAAUCCGGACUAAUACCCAUAAUAUGGGCGCUCCGCAUGGAGAGUCCAUUAAAGAGAGCAAUCUUGGUUACAGACGAGCAUGCGCUCCAUUAGCCAGUUGGCGGGGUAACGGCCCACCAAGGCGACGAUGGAUAGGGGUUCUGAGAGGAAGGUCCCCCACAUUGGAACUGAGACACGGUCCAA
Molecule: ribosomal RNA, 240 nt
Filed under: uncultured bacterium
Lineage: Bacteria
Description: partial 16S ribosomal RNA
Rfam family: Bacterial small subunit ribosomal RNA
Source: RNAcentral